GGCUCAUAGCUCAGUUGGUUAGAGCGUCGCAAGGUCACGGGUUGAAACCCCAUUGAAGUCC
Molecule: transfer RNA, 61 nt
Filed under: Acropora cervicornis
Lineage: Eukaryota; Metazoa; Cnidaria; Anthozoa; Scleractinia; Acroporidae
Description: tRNA-OTHER
Source: RNAcentral